CCAACGGUCCUUUUCAGGACCACAGAAAGUUUU
This is a non-coding RNA of Aedes albopictus (Asian tiger mosquito), 33 nucleotides long. NCBI's taxonomy places the organism in Eukaryota, Metazoa, Arthropoda, Insecta, Diptera, Culicidae. The record is from Rfam.